GUCUGAGUAGUCUAAUAGGUAAGAUACUGGACUGUUACUCCAGUGUUGGUGGUUCGAGUCCACCCUCGGACG
RNAcentral lists this transfer RNA (72 nucleotides) under Candidatus Woesearchaeota archaeon. RNAcentral's name for it is "tRNA-Asn". It matches the Rfam family "tRNA". Rfam says of the family: Transfer RNA (tRNA) molecules are approximately 80 nucleotides in length. Their secondary structure includes four short double-helical elements and three loops (D, anti-codon, and T loops). Lineage: Archaea; Nanobdellati; Candidatus Woesearchaeota. The record is from RNAcentral.